Paramuricea clavata is the source of this 101-nucleotide non-coding RNA. The record is from the annotation of a GenBank genome assembly. NCBI's taxonomy places the organism in Eukaryota, Metazoa, Cnidaria, Anthozoa, Malacalcyonacea, Plexauridae.
GUUGUUCCAACAAGUCCGAUGCAGUCAUGAUAUAACAAUAUUGUCACAAACCUUGUAACAAUAUUGUUAUAUCAUGACUGUAUCAUACUUGUUAGAACAAC